This 182-nucleotide ribosomal RNA is filed under the name uncultured bacterium. RNAcentral describes it as "partial 16S ribosomal RNA". It matches the Rfam family "Bacterial small subunit ribosomal RNA", at positions 1319 to 1500 of the family's 1533-position model. The record is from RNAcentral.
CAUGAAGCUGGAAUCGCUAGUAAUCGCGGAUCAGAAUGCCGCGGUGAAUACGUUCCCGGGUCUUGUACACACCGCCCGUCACACCAUGGGAGCCGGUAACGCCCGAAGUCAGUGACCCAACCGAGAGGAGGGAGCUGCCGAAGGCGGGACAGGUAACUGGGGUGAAGUCGUAACAAGGUAUC